Molecule: ribosomal RNA, 858 nt
Filed under: Vreelandella zhanjiangensis
Lineage: Bacteria; Pseudomonadati; Pseudomonadota; Gammaproteobacteria; Oceanospirillales; Halomonadaceae
Description: bacterial SSU rRNA
Rfam family: Bacterial small subunit ribosomal RNA
Source: RNAcentral
CCAUGCAGUCGAGCGGUAACAGGUCUAGCUUGCUAGACGCUGACGAGCGGCGGACGGGUGAGUAAUGCAUAGGAAUCUGCCCGAUAGUGGGGGAUAACCUGGGGAAACCCAGGCUAAUACCGCAUACGUCCUACGGGAGAAAGGGGGCUUCGGCUCGCGCUAUCGGAUGAGCCUAUGUCGGAUUAGCUAGUUGGUGGGGUAAUGGCCCACCAAGGCGACGAUCCGUAGCUGGUCUGAGAGGAUGAUCAGCCACAUCGGGACUGAGACACGGCCCGAACUCCUACGGGAGGCAGCAGUGGGGAAUAUUGGACAAUGGGGGCAACCCUGAUCCAGCCAUGCCGCGUGUGUGAAGAAGGCCUUCGGGUUGUAAAGCACUUUCAGCGAGGAAGAACGCCAGGGAAUUAAUACCUCCCUGGAAAGACAUCACUCGCAGAAGAAGCACCGGCUAACUCCGUGCCAGCAGCCGCGGUAAUACGGAGGGUGCAAGCGUUAAUCGGAAUUACUGGGCGUAAAGCGCGCGUAGGUGGCUUGAUAAGCCGGUUGUGAAAGCCCCGGGCUCAACCUGGGAACGGCAUCCGGAACUGUCAAGCUAGAGUGCAGGAGAGGAAGGUAGAAUUCCCGGUGUAGCGGUGAAAUGCGUAGAGAUCGGGAGGAAUACCAGUGGCGAAGGCGGCCUUCUGGACUGACACUGACACUGAGGUGCGAAAGCGUGGGUAGCAAACAGGAUUAGAUACCCUGGUAGUCCACGCCGUACACGAUGUCGACCAGCCGUUGGGUGCCUAGCGCACUUUGUGGCGAAGUUAACGCGAUAAGUCGACCGCCUGGGGAGUACGGCCGCAAGGUUAAAACUCAAAUGAA